GUGUGAGCUCAAGGUGGGGCAGGAGCAGCUCAGAGCUCAGAGGAGUGUAGGGCUGGCAUUGAAAAUCUCCCAUGAGAAAAUCUCUUUCAAAGUGUUUUAACUACCUAUUGAUCAACUGCCAGAAAAUGACAACUUGCUAUCACUGCUGCUAACUAAAGGUAGAGUGUGACCUGCAAAUGCUGGAAGAUGGGAGACUUUGAGGAGCACAUACCAUAUGAGUAUCCUGUGUUCUUUUCAGCUUCUGUCAGAGACAGGAUCCUGAAUAAGACUGAGGCUUGGACUACUGAGUUUUUCAAGAAGAAUCAUCCUUGGAGGUUUACUGGGAAAUUUGGUCAUAACUUUCUGUCCUUUACUAACUAAGUGUUCACAAGCACCAUCUAUGCUCUACCAUAAUAUUUGAAGAAGUCAGUGAAACCUACAAGCCCGGGUUGCCAGUUAUAAAACAACAGUGCUCUAGCAAGACUGUAAAGCUGGCCAGGGAGAAACAUAGUACAAGGUAGCCUGAAAACAUGGGAAUUAGAACUUGAAAGCAAUGGAAUUGAGAAACAACCAUAAACAAGGCGGUUGCACUGGCAAACUCUGACCACAUAUCUGCAGUGCAACUUGCCCCUCUUAGACAGGGCAAGUUUGGUCUAGAUUGAAUUCCUGUUGUAGAUUUGAUAAGGAAAAAGUUUCUCGCACAGUGCUAACUACUGAUGAAGAACUGACAGUUUUUUCAGGAUAUUUGCAGUUUUGAGAGCAAUCAUGUCUAAGAAAUACUGUUCAGAAGAAAAUACUCAGGAGAUGCUAAUUAGCACUAUAUUUUUUUCUAUAAAAUCAUAGAAAAUCCUGAGUUGGAAGGGACCCACAAGGAUCAUCAAAGUCUAGCUCUUAUACUUGCAUAAACUGAGACCCAAGCCUUUGUAAGCAAAUGUUUUGUUAAAAAGAAAUCAUGGAUGCACCACGCUUCUGUAUGGAUACUUACAUAAAAAAGGAUUUUGAAAAGUAUAGUCUUGUGCAAAUAAGGACUAUUCCCUAAUACGCAGAAGUAAUGGGUUUUAAAGAUCUUUUCCUUGCAUACCAGAUUGGCAGACAGAUUGUUUGGAUUUUAAACACUCAGACUAGCAAAAAUGUCCAAAAGUGGGAAAUCACUGAAUUUCAGAUUUGGAUAAUCCCAUCAACCGACCUGUUUUCCCAGCUGGGUGAAUUUUUUGUUGAUUUAGAGGAAAGAAUAACAAAAUCCUUUUUAACUACAUCUUUGGAAAUCCUUACAGAAGCUCAGAUCCCCCAGUCUUCCUUAGAGGAGAUGAUGCACAUAGGGUGUGUGAUGGCAGACACCAAGGGUUUGCUGAUGCAGGGAACACA
This is a long non-coding RNA of Hirundo rustica (Barn swallow), 1344 nucleotides long. RefSeq lists it as uncharacterized. The transcript is spliced from 4 exons. NCBI's taxonomy places the organism in Eukaryota, Metazoa, Chordata, Aves, Passeriformes, Hirundinidae. The record is from RefSeq and is a predicted model, not a curated record.